RNAcentral lists this ribosomal RNA (453 nucleotides) under Neoscona adianta. Its description in RNAcentral is "partial 16S ribosomal RNA". It matches the Rfam family "Bacterial large subunit ribosomal RNA", at positions 1893 to 2620 of the family's 2925-position model. Lineage: Eukaryota; Metazoa; Arthropoda; Arachnida; Araneae; Araneidae. The record is from RNAcentral.
UUAUAUAAGUAUCCUGCUCAUGAAUUAAUUUAAAUAGCCGCGGAAAUUUAACCGUGCUAAGGUAGCAUAAUCAUUAGCCUCUUAAUUAGAGGCUCGCAUGAAUGGUAAAACAUUUCAAUAUCUAUAUUAAUUAUAAAUCUUUAAUUUAAAUUAAGAAUUAAAAUGUUCUUAUGAUAUAAAUAGACGACAAGACCCUUUUGAACUUAACUUCAGUUUAGCUGGGGCAGCUAAUAAAAAAUUAUCUUUUUCCAUCUAUUUUAUUAAAUGACCCAAUAAAAUUGAUUUAUUGAACAAGUUACCAUAGGGAUAACAGCGUAAUAUUUUUCUAAAGUUCUUAUUUAAAAAAAUGAUUGCGACCUCGAUGUUGAAUUAAUGUUACUUUACAGAUGCAAUAAUUUUAUAAGUAGGUCUGUUCGACCUUUAAAUCAUUACAUGAUCUGAGUUCAAACCGGA